UCGAAAGUACUGUUAGGACGUUCGAGGGAAACGCUCGUUAAUUACGCAUUACUACGAAAUACUACCGUACACUACCGGACGAGAUACAGUUCGUUCUAACAUUUAUAAGUAAGAAAUCGCACAUAAAAUUGAAAUCGAAAGAACGUUACGGUCAUGAUCGCAGAAAACGUGUUUUGCGUUUAAUGUUAUCUUUCUGAGAUGUAGUUCUUUCGGGGGAAUAAAAAUGGCAUAUAAAGGCCAAGAGACUCACUGGUUCUGUGAGGUAAGACUCCCACAACUCCCUGAGAUCGCUGCUUCCCACGUCGUAGAAUUCCAUGAUGGCCGUCUCUUCUAUUCGUUGAUCUUUCUCCGAUCUCCCGGUGUGUUCACUGUCCUCAAUCAAUCGUACAUACUUGAAUGCUCAUUGACGCCGUUUAUAACUUCAAACCACGAGCAUCGUGAUUCUCCUUGAAAGGACACCGAUACUUUCCAACGGAAUCUAUAAAUUAACGAGGAAAUAAGCAUUAUAAUUCAAAGUAAAACAUCCAAUAAAAAUCUAAUAAACGAAGAAAACUUUCAAAGUCACAUAUCUUUCUUAAAGAUAAAGACAGAGAUAAAGAUAGAUAGAUAGAUUGAUAGAGAAAGAGAGAGAGAAGAAAAGAUUUCUAUCUAGAUCCGUCUUAUCGGCUACGUUGUGAUCUAUCAAGAGAUUAUAAUAAAAUAUAAACUAGGGUGAUUGCACGAUCAUCGUCGAAUGUAAAAAAAAAAUAUCAAAUAAAUAUAUAUCUUUGAUAAUUGCACGACAUAAAUAUCAUAGAAAUAAUUUAUUACGUUACUUCAAAUUUAUAGAAACUUCCGACAAAUAUAUCAAACAACUUACGUUGUAAUACUUUCAUGACAAGAUAACAAUCUUAAAAAUGGCAUGAAAAUGAAUUUUAUUUAUAUAUUUUUAUUGUUCGAACGUUUUUGUGUUGCAUGUCAUAAUAAUAAGCAGUGCGUCGAAACAAAUCGUAAUGCGUUGUAACGAGAUCAAUGGAUCCGUCUUUUAUAGGUUAAGUACGACACGAUGCCUUUUCAAUCCGUCGUAGAAUAAAUGGAAGAGAAAAAUAGAGGAAGGGGUAGUAUGGGGGCAGUCUUAAAAUGGAGAACGUAACAUGAGCGUAGAAAAAUCAGAAUUUUACGGUGUACAUAAUCUCAUCGAAAGUCUCUCUUGUAUGAUAAAUAAAUCACGAUUUUCAUUAUACCUUUUUCUCUGUUUUCUCAAAAAAAAAAAAAAGCAAAAAGAAGCUGCUCCGUUAAAUAAUCAUCGCUCGAAAGCUAAUAAUAAUUCAAAAAUAACAAUCACUAUGCGUGAGAAAACGACAAAAAAAAAAGAAAAAAGGAACGGAAGAAGAAAAAUGGGGAUGAAACGAGAAAAAGUUCGAUGUUUUCGUCGAUGCCUAUCUUUCUCUAUCAGUAACUUAAGAAAUCUAAAAAGUAUUGCGGUCAGGAUACGUUAAAUACUAUAAUCUUAUCUUUUUCCCUCUUCGAUCUGGCUUAACGGAGAUGCGAGCACAUUUCCUCCCGAUGUAACUCGUUUAUU
Vespula vulgaris is the source of this 1561-nucleotide long non-coding RNA. RefSeq lists it as uncharacterized. NCBI's taxonomy places the organism in Eukaryota, Metazoa, Arthropoda, Insecta, Hymenoptera, Vespidae. The record is from RefSeq and is a predicted model, not a curated record. The transcript is spliced from 2 exons.